Molecule: small nucleolar RNA, 108 nt
Filed under: Helianthus annuus (common sunflower)
Lineage: Eukaryota; Viridiplantae; Streptophyta; Magnoliopsida; Asterales; Asteraceae
Description: Plant small nucleolar RNA R71
Rfam family: Plant small nucleolar RNA R71
About the family: R71 is a member of the C/D box family of snoRNAs containing the C (UGAUGA) and D (CUGA) box motifs.
Source: RNAcentral
AGGCCGUGAUGUGGACACUUACGUAAUAACUCCUUGAAACCUUUCCCAAGUUUCAUAUAAGGAUUCCCCGUCCUCUUGUGAAUAUGUAUUAAUUUCAGUCAUUAAUUU